RNAcentral lists this ribosomal RNA (377 nucleotides) under uncultured bacterium. Its description in RNAcentral is "bacterial SSU rRNA". It matches the Rfam family "Bacterial small subunit ribosomal RNA", at positions 523 to 898 of the family's 1533-position model. The record is from RNAcentral.
AUACGUAGGUGGCAAGCGUUGUCCGGAAUUAUUGGGCGUAAAGCGCGCGCAGGUGGUCCUUUAAGUCUGAUGUGAAAGCCCACGGCUCAACCGUGGAGGGUCAUUGGAAACUGGGGGACUUGAGUGCAGAAGAGGAAAGUGGAAUUCCAAGUGUAGCGGUGAAAUGCGUAGAGAUUUGGAGGAACACCAGUGGCGAAGGCGACUUUCUGGUCUGUAACUGACACUGAGGCGCGAAAGCGUGGGGAGCAAACAGGAUUAGAUACCCUGGUAGUCCACGCCGUAAACGAUGAGUGCUAAGUGUUAGAGGGUUUCCGCCCUUUAGUGCUGCAGCUAACGCAUUAAGCACUCCGCCUGGGGAGUACGGUCGCAAGACUGAA